Molecule: unclassified non-coding RNA, 448 nt
Filed under: Hevea brasiliensis (rubber tree)
Lineage: Eukaryota; Viridiplantae; Streptophyta; Magnoliopsida; Malpighiales; Euphorbiaceae
Source: RNAcentral
AUAUCCCAUGUGAGGAAGCCCACCCGGCCAACUAGCCAUUGACAUGGGUAGAGGAAGAGAACUUGAUUGAGCAGCUUUCUCGGUGUUUGGUUGCUGCUGCUGCUGUUGUUUCUGAACAUGAUGGUGCAACUUGUUACCACUUCCGGUAACGACGCCACUAUCUCUAUCAGAUUUCUCCAAAUCAAGCUGCAGAUCAAUAUUCCUCUCUUUACUAGCAUUUGGUUUAUGCGAUUCAACAUCUUCGGCUACCAGUUUUGUCUUUUUCUCCUCUGGUUCCACACACACAUCUUUUCCAAUUUUCAGAGACUUAUCAUCUUCUUUAACCGCCGGUUUUAUUUCCGUUUCGACGUCUGUGAUUAUAGGUUUAUGAUCUACAGGCACAAAGCCAAUCUCACUGUCUCUUUCUGGGGAUGAUCUUACUGGUGGUGGAGCCAUCAGAUCUAUCUGG